ACGCUCGACACCUACGGGAGGCAGCAGUUGGGAAUAUUGGACAAUGGAGGAAACUCUGAUCCAGUGACGCCGCGUGAAGGAAGAAGGUCUUCGGAUUGUAAACUUAUUUUGUCAGGGAAGAAAAAAUGACUGUACCUGAAGAAAAAGCACCGGCUAACUACGUGCCAGCAGCCACGGUAAUCUGAGCGGGCUGGCAAGGC
This 200-nucleotide ribosomal RNA is filed under the name uncultured bacterium. RNAcentral's name for it is "partial 16S ribosomal RNA". It matches the Rfam family "Bacterial small subunit ribosomal RNA", at positions 328 to 539 of the family's 1533-position model. The record is from RNAcentral.